AUGCAGUUGCCCCAGCAGUGGGAGCUGGGAGACUCCUGUGCUUGGACAGGAAGGUUCACUCUGAUCAGAAUGUACACCAUCUGCAGGUGUUCUCUUCGUUUGUGUCUUGGAAACAGAGUAUUUUAAGCAGAAAUUUCUACCUUACCCCAAACCUAGAGAGACUAGUAAUGAUCCCAUAGCAUUUAACAUAAAUUGAGUGUAUUAUCCAGAAAGACCUGGAUGGCUUUGAUUAGCCAAAGCACAACGUAUAGUGAUGGAAUCCAAGAUGGGUCUCCAACAGCUGAAAACGUGGGGAAAUCAGCUGUCAUUGAGAUAACUGCCUGCACUAGGUACACCUUUGAGACUCCAAGACAUAAUUUGGUAAUUAAUAUAAUGUCAACAGAAGACUUCCUGCUGCCAUAACUUACAGAAUUCUUCAUUAAAAAUAUAAAUAUAGAAGAAAUAGUGGCCAGUGAGGUUCUUAGAGACUUUUCUGGGGCAGUGAAAACUGUGGCCACCAGAGAGCCUGAACGCCAUAAACAUCAUGCUGGCCCUAGACAGGGGCAGCCCGGGUCUGCUUCCCAUUAAUGGCCUGAAGGAGGGUCAUAGUUGGUGCUGAUGUCCCAUUUUCCUCUUGUUUAUGAGAUGUUCAAAAUCCACAGAAUCAAUUGAGAUGUAGUCAAGACAUGGCGCCUGUAAUAAGAUGUAAUAAAAAAUGUCAUACUCAGUUUUACAUUGACGAGUGCAAAAUUUCAUUGGUUUAUAAAGCAAAGCAAGUGUCCACCUAUCAGAAGGAGAUUCAUGGAGAGGCAAUUUUAGCCAACGAUGUAGAGUACAAACCCUCUUCUGAUUCUUUGAAAAACAGAGACUAUUACAUGGAUUUCCUAAUUACAACGGCUGUGCCCUUGGCAGCAGCACUGGUCCUUUUUCUAAUACUUGCUUAUAUCGUGUGCUACCGAUAGGAAGGAGUAGAAAAGAGAAACAUGCAAACACCAGGCAUGCAACUGGUACAUCACUGUGCUAUUCAGAAAUCUACCAAGGGGCUUUGAGCCCAAGCAUAGAAAGACAGCAUGGCCCUUUUCAACGCUCUUUCUGUGUUUUGCCCUGUAACGGGGAAAAUCAUACCUUCUCUACAUGCAGACAACUAUGAUAGCACUAACAUGACACUGAGGCAAAUGCAGCAGAACUUGCCACAUCAGACACCAGAUCUUCAACAGCACACUACAAGAAAAUGGUAUCCCUGAAGAAAGAAAACCGACCCAAGCAAUGAAUUUUAAAUCAGACAAUACAGCAGUUAUAUCGUAUUUCUUUUCUCUUCCAGUAAUGCAUGAGCUUUUUUGGCAUAUGGUGUACAUGUUGACAGUAUUAAGUAUGUACCAAAUAAUACAACAUAACUUUCACUUUACUAAUGUAUUUUUCCCUAAAUCAUUUUUGACAAGUUGUAAAACAUUGAUGACUUUAUAUUUGUUACAAUAAAAAGUGAUCUUUAAAAAACACAUUAUUAAUGGAAAAA
Molecule: RNA transcript, 1492 nt
Organism: Propithecus coquereli (Coquerel's sifaka)
Lineage: Eukaryota; Metazoa; Chordata; Mammalia; Primates; Indriidae
Gene name: epsilon-sarcoglycan pseudogene
Exons: 1
Source: RefSeq, a predicted model, not a curated record